Molecule: long non-coding RNA, 430 nt
Filed under: Elaeis guineensis (African oil palm)
Lineage: Eukaryota; Viridiplantae; Streptophyta; Magnoliopsida; Arecales; Arecaceae
Description: long non-coding RNA (EGUI_LNC021660)
Source: RNAcentral
GUCUUAGGUUUAGUCUAGAAUGCGCUGCCCUCUACACUAGGCUCGAACCGUCGGAUUGGUCGCAUAUUGUUCGAUGGACGGGUGCCACUAGAGCAGGAUUUGAGAUUUAUGGUUUGUUGGCGGAGUAGGUUACCGCCAGGGGUGCGGUGGUAGGGUCCCACGCCAGGCGUGCUUCUUGCUUCGCUCUCUUUUCCGGGGAUUUUCCUGAGAAAAAAAUCGGGGGCCGAGAAAAUAACAGGAAUCAGGGUCAUUGAGAUGGACGGUUGGGAUUGGAACGGGACCAAUAUAUUAACAACCCGUGGCCAGCCGCUUGAUGGCUCCUGAGAAAAGGAGGACAGAAGGGGCGCGUGGCGCGCGUGCACGAUAGGGUGGAGGGGAAAGACGGUCAGGAUUUGAUGGGAAGGGAGACUUCGUGAUUGACGGAUCAGCC